This 230-nucleotide long non-coding RNA is filed under the name Mytilus galloprovincialis (Mediterranean mussel). Lineage: Eukaryota; Metazoa; Mollusca; Bivalvia; Mytilida; Mytilidae. The record is from RNAcentral.
CAGUUGGAAAGCAAGUCCUUCGAUACGGCCGUUGUCGUCAAGCUCUAUCAGCAACAAUAGCAGGGGGAAUUAAUUAGGUGGCGCUACAGUCGUCCGUAACGUCAAAAAGUCCGCCAAAUCUAUCGGCUAAAAGAUUGACGUUUAAAGUAUUUUUUGCAACUUGUCAUGCUUUUAUUAUAAUUAAAUUUUAAAAUUUGUAGGUUUUGUUACCAAUAUAAUUUAUUUACGAC